This 1190-nucleotide ribosomal RNA is filed under the name Glutamicibacter arilaitensis. RNAcentral describes it as "bacterial SSU rRNA". It matches the Rfam family "Bacterial small subunit ribosomal RNA", at positions 50 to 1252 of the family's 1533-position model. Lineage: Bacteria; Bacillati; Actinomycetota; Actinomycetes; Micrococcales; Micrococcaceae. The record is from RNAcentral.
AACACAUGCAAGUCGAACGAUGAAGCCCAGCUUGCUGGGUGGAUUAGUGGCGAACGGGUGAGUAACACGUGAGUAACCUGCCCCCGACUCUGGGAUAAGCCCGGGAAACUGGGUCUAAUACCGGAUAUUACCUCUUGCCGCAUGGCAGGUGGUGGAAAGAUUUAUCGGUGGGGGAUGGACUCGCGGCCUAUCAGCUUGUUGGUGAGGUAAUGGCUCACCAAGGCGACGACGGGUAGCCGGCCUGAGAGGGUGACCGGCCACACUGGGACUGAGACACGGCCCAGACUCCUACGGGAGGCAGCAGUGGGGAAUAUUGCACAAUGGGCGAAAGCCUGAUGCAGCGACGCCGCGUGAGGGAUGACGGCCUUCGGGUUGUAAACCUCUUUCAGUAGGGAAGAAGCGAAAGUGACGGUACCUGCAGAAGAAGCGCCGGCUAACUACGUGCCAGCAGCCGCGGUAAUACGUAGGGCGCAAGCGUUAUCCGGAUUUAUUGGGCGUAAAGAGCUCGUAGGCGGUUUGUCGCGUCUGCCGUGAAAGUCCGAGGCUCAACCUCGGAUCUGCGGUGGGUACGGGCAGACUAGAGUGAUGUAGGGGAGACUGGAAUUCCUGGUGUAGCGGUGAAAUGCGCAGAUAUCAGGAGGAACACCGAUGGCGAAGGCAGGUCUCUGGGCAUUUACUGACGCUGAGGAGCGAAAGCAUGGGGAGCGAACAGGAUUAGAUACCCUGGUAGUCCAUGCCGUAAACGUUGGGCACUAGGUGUGGGGGACAUUCCACGUUUUCCGCGCCGUAGCUAACGCAUUAAGUGCCCCGCCUGGGGAGUACGGCCGCAAGGCUAAAACUCAAAGGAAUUGACGGGGGCCCGCACAAGCGGCGGAGCAUGCGGAUUAAUUCGAUGCAACGCGAAGAACCUUACCAAGGCUUGACAUGUGCCAGACCGCUUCAGAGAUGGAGUUUCCCUUCGGGGCUGGUUCACAGGUGGUGCAUGGUUGUCGUCAGCUCGUGUCGUGAGAUGUUGGGUUAAGUCCCGCAACGAGCGCAACCCUCGUUCCAUGUUGCCAGCACGUAGUGGUGGGGACUCAUGGGAGACUGCCGGGGUCAACUCGGAGGAAGGUGGGGAUGACGUCAAAUCAUCAUGCCCCUUAUGUCUUGGGCUUCACGCAUGCUACAAUGGCCGGUACAAUGGGUUGCGA